AACCCAUAAUAAACGGAGUUUUUCUUUUUUGCUUCCAGUGCUUUUUUUCCUGAAAGGACUAAACCUUGCCUGGUACGUUGUACUUGCUAUCUGAUCAAAGCCAAUGAAGAACCUCAAGACAGAAUGCAAUGGAACAAUAAAUGAACCAGGGAAACACAGGGGUCAAAAGUCAUCCGCCAGCAAAAGGAUUUGUAUCAAGGAGAGAUCUUCACUGCUGGGUACUGAAGAUGUGCCUUAACCCUCUACAAAAUACUUAACCAGUUGCUGGGAAUAACUCUCCAGUCAGAGCGUAGAAGUUUGGACACGGUGCUGUACUAACGUGCUUGUACUUCUGCUGGACUGGAACUGGCCUCCUGCCAGUUUGGAG
This 367-nucleotide long non-coding RNA is filed under the name Struthio camelus australis. RNAcentral describes it as "lncRNA (ENSSCUG00000003909.1)". The record is from RNAcentral. Lineage: Eukaryota; Metazoa; Chordata; Aves; Struthioniformes; Struthionidae.